AGUUCUAUAGUUUAAUAUAAAAUUUUAAAUUGCAAAUUUAAAGAUAAACUUAAGUUUUAGAAUUU
Molecule: transfer RNA, 65 nt
Filed under: Nitidulidae sp. KM-2017
Lineage: Eukaryota; Metazoa; Arthropoda; Insecta; Coleoptera; Nitidulidae
Description: tRNA-Cys
Source: RNAcentral